This 28-nucleotide small RNA is filed under the name Bombyx mori (domestic silkworm). Its description in RNAcentral is "piRNA piR-bmo-1949412". The record is from RNAcentral. Lineage: Eukaryota; Metazoa; Arthropoda; Insecta; Lepidoptera; Bombycidae.
CCGCUGUCUUUAGUUCUACAUUGCCCUC